RNAcentral lists this long non-coding RNA (424 nucleotides) under Homo sapiens (human). Its description in RNAcentral is "HSALNT0242635". Lineage: Eukaryota; Metazoa; Chordata; Mammalia; Primates; Hominidae. The record is from RNAcentral.
GCACAAACUUCCCGAGGCCUCACCCCAUCCCCCCAAUGCACAGAAACACUUUGCCAACCUCUGGACUAGACUGAGUAAAGCAAGCAGAAAGAUCCAAUUUUAAAAAGAGGUGAGGAAAAUGGGACAACUUGGCUAUGGAGAGAGCAAGAAGAAUGCAACUGAUGUGCACAAAGUUUGAAGACAAAGUUACUCAGUUUAGAUCAGGGGUCCACAACCCCCAGCCAUGGACCAGUACUGAUUUGUGGCCUGUUAGGAACUCAGUUGCAGUAGGAGGUGAAUGCCAGGUUUUUUCAUCUGAGGUUACCAUGAGACUUAUAAUACAAGUAAAAUCUUAUAUCUCAAUGCCAGCACUUUGGGAGACAGAGGUGGGCAGAUCACCUGACGUCAGGGGUUCGAGACCAGCCUGACCAACGUGGAGAAACCC